Molecule: ribosomal RNA, 492 nt
Filed under: uncultured bacterium
Lineage: Bacteria
Description: partial 16S ribosomal RNA
Rfam family: Bacterial small subunit ribosomal RNA
Source: RNAcentral
AGUGAACGCUGGCGGUAGGCCUAACACAUGCAAGUCGAACGGCAGCACAGUAAGAGCUUGCUCUUACGGGUGGCGAGUGGCGGACGGGUGAGGAAUACAUCGGAAUCUACUUUUUCGUGGGGGAUAACGUAGGGAAACUUACGCUAGUACCGCAUACGACCUACGGGUGAAAGCAGGGGAUCUUCGGACCUCGCGCGAUUGAAUGAGCCGAUGUCGGAUUAGCUAGUUGGCGGGGUAAAGGCCCACCAAGGCGACGAUCCGUAGCUGGUCUGAGAGGAUGAUCAGCCACACUGGAACUGAGACACGGUCCAGACUCCUACGGGAGGCAGCAGUGGGGAAUAUUGGACAAUGGGCGCAAGCCUGAUCCAGCCAUACCGCGUGGGUGAAGAAGGCCUUCGGGUUGUAAAGCCCUUUUGUUGGGAAAGAAAAGCAGCAGGUUAAUACCCCGCUGUUCUGACGGUACCCAAAGAAUAAGCACCGGCUAACUUCGUG